Molecule: ribosomal RNA, 492 nt
Filed under: uncultured bacterium
Lineage: Bacteria
Description: partial 16S ribosomal RNA
Rfam family: Bacterial small subunit ribosomal RNA
Source: RNAcentral
AGUGAACGCUGGCGGUAGGCCUAACACAUGCAAGUCGAACGGCAGCACAGUAAGAGCUUGCUCUUACGGGUGGCGAGUGGCGGACGGGUGAGGAAUACAUCGGAAUCUACUUUUUCGUGGGGGAUAACGUAGGGAAACUUACGCUAAUACCGCAUACGACCUACGGGUGAAAGCAGGGGAUCUUCGGACCUUGCGCGAUUGAAUGAGCCGAUGUCGGAUUAGCUAGUUGGCGGGGUAAAGGCCCACCAAGGCGACGAUCCGUAGCUGGUCUGAGAGGAUGAUCAGCCACACUGGAACUGAGACACGGUCCAGACUCCUACGGGAGGCAGCAGUGGGGAAUAUUGGACAAUGGGCGCAAGCCUGAUCCAGCCAUGCCGCGUGGGUGAAGAAGGCCUUCGGGUUGUAAAGCCCUUUUGUUGGGAAAGAAAAGCAGCAGGUUAAUACCCCGCCGUUCUGACGGUACCCAAAGAAUAAGCACCGGCUAACUUCGUG